CACCAAUGCAAAUCUGUUCCUGUGGUCCAAACCAAGACUUCAUAAUUAUCCCAGGAAAGCAGACUGUAUUGGUGACUAUCAACGGUCCAUACCACCUGUGUCUGCCUUGUAUAAGCUGUCCACUUUGCUCUUCCAAAUGGACUCCUGGGAUUAAUGACUUGCUUCAAUACAGAUACUGGCCAGCAACCACCAGCUGCCAAAUGCUGUUUAAGUUUGAUCUGUUCACAUCAUUUGAGCAGAUGAAAUUAGCCAGCCCAGCUUUAUCCCAACAAGCAUUUCUCAGAAUGCUUGAACAUCGAUGUCUUUGCACUGGUCGGACGGGUAGUAUUUGUGGUGAUACCUUCCACAGAGUCUUUCGGGAGUUUGCCUUCUGCAAUUUUAAGAAAGAAGAUCUGUGCCUGAUGGAGCCCUUUAAAUGCCCAGCAUGUACACCAGACAUGCUUGCUAUAUCUGCAGACGGUAAUAGAAAACAUUACCGGUUCAAGAAGUCC
Carassius carassius (crucian carp) is the source of this 491-nucleotide long non-coding RNA. RefSeq lists it as uncharacterized. Lineage: Eukaryota; Metazoa; Chordata; Actinopteri; Cypriniformes; Cyprinidae. The record is from RefSeq and is a predicted model, not a curated record. The transcript is spliced from 3 exons.